Molecule: transfer RNA, 59 nt
Filed under: Dipodomys ordii (Ord's kangaroo rat)
Lineage: Eukaryota; Metazoa; Chordata; Mammalia; Rodentia; Heteromyidae
Rfam family: tRNA
About the family: Transfer RNA (tRNA) molecules are approximately 80 nucleotides in length. Their secondary structure includes four short double-helical elements and three loops (D, anti-codon, and T loops). Further hydrogen bonds mediate the characteristic L-shaped molecular structure. tRNAs have two regions of fundamental functional importance: the anti-codon, which is responsible for specific mRNA codon recognition, and the 3' end, to which the tRNAs corresponding amino acid is attached (by aminoacyl-tRNA synthetases). tRNAs cope with the degeneracy of the genetic code in two manners: having more than one tRNA (with a specific anti-codon) for a particular amino acid; and 'wobble' base-pairing, i.e. permitting non-standard base-pairing at the 3rd anti-codon position.
Source: Rfam by way of RNAcentral
GGGAAGGUGGCUCAGUGGUAGAGUGCUUGCCUUGCACGCAUGAGACAGGUUCCAUUCCU